UACGGAGGGUGCGAGCGUUGUCCGGAAUCAUUGGGCGUAAAGGGCGCGUAGGCGGCCGUCCCAAGCGUGCGGUGAAAGUCAGGGGCUCAACCCCUGAUCGGCCGUGCGAACUGGGGGGCUCGAGCACUGUAGAGGCAGGCGGAAUUCCGGGUGUAGCGGUGGAAUGCGUAGAUAUCUGAAGGAACACCAGUGGCGAAGGCGGCUUUCUGGCCUAUUCUUGACGCUGAGGCGCGAAAGCUAGGGGAGCGAACGGG
RNAcentral lists this ribosomal RNA (254 nucleotides) under uncultured bacterium. RNAcentral describes it as "partial 16S ribosomal RNA". It matches the Rfam family "Bacterial small subunit ribosomal RNA", at positions 524 to 776 of the family's 1533-position model. The record is from RNAcentral.